Molecule: non-coding RNA, 423 nt
Organism: Pelobates cultripes (western spadefoot toad)
Lineage: Eukaryota; Metazoa; Chordata; Amphibia; Anura; Pelobatidae
Source: the annotation of a GenBank genome assembly
AGCAGUUCUGUCAAUCAAAGCCAUGUAUAGAUUGCAUUACGGAAGUAGGACCACAAACGGAUAUCUGUGAGCAUGUGUGCAAAGAGACCGUUCUUGGAAAGGUCUGGGCCAAACACGGUCAGGUUCUAGGACAGAGAAAGCCUUCCUCCAGGGUGGAAUCACGUUUAACCAGUGUAUUUCCAUUAAACCCAUCUGAUCUAGAACCCUGUUAUGAUGAUGUGCCCAUGUUUGUCCACUGUAGAUGUGUCUGUGAAGAUGGCUGUAUUUUUCCUCUUUGAAUUCUUCUAGUUUACUGAAAGGAAAAAAAAGCCAACAGGUGAGCAACAUCCCAAGUUCCACAGGAGCUGGUUUUAUUUUCAAAAGGUUGAGAGCCAGAAAACAAAUAUUAAGCUAAAUUGCCAUUGCUCAUCUGCCUUCGUUUCC